RNAcentral lists this ribosomal RNA (466 nucleotides) under uncultured bacterium. Its description in RNAcentral is "partial 16S ribosomal RNA". It matches the Rfam family "Bacterial small subunit ribosomal RNA", at positions 28 to 507 of the family's 1533-position model. The record is from RNAcentral.
GAUGAACGCUGGCGGCGUGCUUAACACAUGCAAGUCGAACGAUGAAGCCCAGCUUGCUGGGUGGAUUAGUGGCGAACGGGUGAGUAACACGUGAGGAACCUGCCACUAAAUCUGGGAUAAGCCUGGGAAACUGGGUCUAAUACCGGAUAGGAGCGUCCACCGCAUGGUGGGUGUUGGAACGAUUUAUCGGUUUUGGAUGGACUCGCGGCCUAUCAGCGUGUUGGUGCGGUAAUGGCUCACCAAGGCGACGACGGGUAGCCGGCCGGAGAGGGUGACCGGCCACACUGGGACUGAGACACGGCCCAGACUCCUACGGGAGGCAGCAGUGGGGAAGAUUGCACAAUGGGCGCAAGCCUGAUGCAGCGACGCCGCGUGGGGGAUGACGGCCUUCGGGUUGUAAACCUCUUUCAGUAGGGAAGAAGCGAAAGUGACGGUACCUGCAGAAGAAGCACCGGCUAACUACGUG